This 526-nucleotide transfer RNA is filed under the name uncultured Prochlorococcus sp. Its description in RNAcentral is "partial 16S-23S ribosomal RNA intergenic spacer". The stretch from base 212 to 284 matches the Rfam family "tRNA". Lineage: Bacteria; Bacillati; Cyanobacteriota; Cyanophyceae; Synechococcales; Prochlorococcaceae. The record is from RNAcentral.
CAGGGAGACAACAAAAUGUUUAAUAUUAUUAUUUUGUCACCUUAGGUCGAUCGGUAUCUCACAUUCUCAAUUUAUUGAGGAUUUCAUUUCCUAAGUUUUUCUAGGUCACACCCAUUAUUUUCCCUGGGCCAUUAGCUCAGGUGGUUAGAGCGCACCCCUGAUAAGGGUGAGGUCCCUGGUUCAAGUCCAGGAUGGCCCAUAUCUCUAUGUUGGGGGUAUAGCUCAGUUGGUAGAGCGCCUGCUUUGCAAGCAGGAUGUCAGCGGUUCGAGUCCGCUUACCUCCACUGAUCACCACCUCUUCCAUAAUUUAUAGAAGGGAAUUGUUUGGAGUUGUGAUCAAAUCUGAACGAAUCUAGCUUCCUAAUGAAAUCAUUAAGAUGCUGGACUCAUUGAAUUAAUUUCAUUGUUUUCAGAGAACCUUGACAACUGCAUAGAUUAUUUUUAAAGACAAUAAGCAUCUUUAAUGAUGCAGAUUUAUUAUUUGUGCGAAUGCAUUAAUAACAAUUCUAUUAAGCUGAUGCUUCAA